GAACUGAAGAGUUUGAUCAUGGCUCAGAUUGAACGCUGGCGGCAGGCCUAACACAUGCAAGUCGAGCGGAUGAAGGGAGCUUGCUCCUGGAUUCAGCGGCGGACGGGUGAGUAAUGCCUAGGAAUCUGCCUGAUAGUGGGGGAUAACGUCCGGAAACGGGCGCUAAUACCGCAUACGUCCUGAGGGAGAAAGUGGGGGAUCUUCGGACCUCACGCUAUCAGAUGAGCCUAGGUCGGAUUAGCUAGUUGGUGGGGUAAAGGCCUACCAAGGCGACGAUCCGUAACUGGUCUGAGAGGAUGAUCAGUCACACUG
Molecule: ribosomal RNA, 312 nt
Filed under: Pseudomonas aeruginosa
Lineage: Bacteria; Pseudomonadati; Pseudomonadota; Gammaproteobacteria; Pseudomonadales; Pseudomonadaceae
Description: bacterial SSU rRNA
Rfam family: Bacterial small subunit ribosomal RNA
Source: RNAcentral